RNAcentral lists this ribosomal RNA (479 nucleotides) under uncultured bacterium. RNAcentral describes it as "bacterial SSU rRNA". It matches the Rfam family "Bacterial small subunit ribosomal RNA", at positions 364 to 833 of the family's 1533-position model. The record is from RNAcentral.
UUUCGCAAUGCCCGAAAGGGUGACGAAGCGACGCCGCGUGGGUGAGGAAGGCCCUCGGGUUGUAAAGCCCUGUCAGGAGUUAAGAAAUGUAGGUGUGCUAAUAUCACGCCUAUUUGACGAAGGCUCCAAAGGAAGUCACGGCUAACUCUGUGCCAGCAGCCGCGGUAAUACAGAGGUGGCAAGCGUUGUUCGGAAUUAUUGGGCGUAAAGAGCACGUAGGUGGGUUUGUAAGUCAGAUGUGAAAGCCUCCUGUUCAACGGGAGAAUUGCAUCUGAAACUACUGAUCUUGAGUGUAGGAGGGGAGAAUGGAACUUCUGGUGGAGCGGUGAAAUGCGUAGAUAUCAGAAGGAACGCCGGCGGCGAAAGCGAUUCUCUGGCCUAUUACUGACACUCAGUGUGCGAAAGCUAGGGGAGCAAACGGGAUUAGAUACCCCGGUAGUCCUAGCCGUAAACGAUGGGCACUAAGUAGAGGGGUUUUA